UUAAAGAAGACAGCACUCUGAAUAGAAUGAGAAAGACAGAAAGAAGCUUCAGAAUGUGGAUCAAAACCGUACCUCUUAGGCCCUGUGAGAGCACCAGAUCUGUCUGAUGUGGAUCCUCCGGCUGGCGAAGUGCCAGAAAGUGCUGAAAAGUACAUGCAAAAAGGGAUGGCCACGGAGGAUGAGAGCCCUACCGUCCCCACCCUAACUGGCCCUGGGAUGCUGUUCCUUCUUCGCUUGGCCUCCUGGAACACUGCCAACUUGGGCAGUUCUCAAGUUGUAGACACUCAUCAAUGAAAUGACCAGCUGGGGGGAAGAUACCCACAGAGAGAACUCUGACCAGCCUGGAGGGGAAAACCAUGUAGAAGUGAAUAUGGUCAAAGUCAAAAUCGUUAUGAUCAUAAGGCUGCAAUAUCUGUUUCUUCUCCACUUUUAAAGCAUUUGUGGACCAACAAGCAAAGGUACAUUGAAGUCAAAAACUGCCUUUUCUUCCCAGAGAUACACAUUCCAGCAACAUCUAGAAAAGGAGAUCGAAUUAACCAGUAAUUUACUCAUUUGCUUCAAAUUAAUUUUC
Molecule: long non-coding RNA, 571 nt
Organism: Manis javanica (Malayan pangolin)
Lineage: Eukaryota; Metazoa; Chordata; Mammalia; Pholidota; Manidae
Source: RefSeq, a predicted model, not a curated record